GAGGCAGACAGCGGCGGCGAGGCGCGCAGCGGCGGCGCAGGCGCGGAGAGGCGCUGGCGCCGGCUCUGGCGCGGAGAGGUGCAGGCCCAGGCUCCACUCCCCAGCUGUGAAAGGGUUUUCUGCCUCCUGCUAAGCCAAUUUAUACAUUCCAAGAAAAUCUUCCAUUUCAUCCAGGUGAAACGGAACCUACUGGAAUGAAGCUGGCCUCCCAUGGAAUGAAGCUGGCCUCCCGUCUCCUUGAUUUGAAGCAGCUUCUCCACGUUGGUUAUUAUGCCAUUUUUCUAAAUCUAACAUUUUAAAAUUUGUGCCUUUUCUUUCUCUUUUGCUUGACUUCUCAGAGGUUUUUUUAACGGUCUUUUCAAAGAAGUGGUUUUGGGUUUUAUUUAUCAAGUCUACUUUUAUUAUGGCUGUUUUAAAAUUAAAUACAUUUAUUUCUUGUUUCCCUUA
Molecule: long non-coding RNA, 447 nt
Filed under: Homo sapiens (human)
Lineage: Eukaryota; Metazoa; Chordata; Mammalia; Primates; Hominidae
Description: HSALNT0304048
Source: RNAcentral